AGCGGCCAGAGCAUGGGGGGGCACGCCCGGUCCCGUUCCGAACCCGGAAGCUAAGCCCCAUCGCGCCGAGAGUACUGCGGGGUCAGCCCGUGGGAGGCCAGGGCGUCGCUG
This 111-nucleotide ribosomal RNA is filed under the name uncultured Collinsella sp. Lineage: Bacteria; Bacillati; Actinomycetota; Coriobacteriia; Coriobacteriales; Coriobacteriaceae. The record is from RNAcentral.